GACGAACGCUGGCGGCGUGCUUAACACAUGCAAGUCGAACGGAAAGGCCCUGCUUUUGUGGGGUGCUCGAGUGGCGAACGGGUGAGUAACACGUGAGUAACCUGCCCUUGACUUUGGGAUAACUUCAGGAAACUGGGGCUAAUACCGGAUAGGAGCUCCUGCUGCAUGGUGGGGGUUGGAAAGUUUCGGCGGUUGGGGAUGGACUCGCGGCUUAUCAGCUUGUUGGUGGGGUAGUGGCUUACCAAGGCUUUGACGGGUAGCCGGCCUGAGAGGGUGACCGGCCACAUUGGGACUGAGAUACGGCCCAGACUCCUACGGGAGGCAGCAGGGGGGAAUAUUGAACAAUGGGCGGAAGCCUGAUGCAGCAACGCCGCGUGCGGGAUGACGGCCUUCGGGUUGUAAACCGCUUUCGCCUGUGACGAAGCGUGAGUGACGGUAAUGGGUAAAGAAGCACCGGCUAACUACGUG
RNAcentral lists this ribosomal RNA (468 nucleotides) under uncultured bacterium. Its description in RNAcentral is "partial 16S ribosomal RNA". It matches the Rfam family "Bacterial small subunit ribosomal RNA", at positions 28 to 507 of the family's 1533-position model. The record is from RNAcentral.